UACGUAGGUCCCGAGCGUUGUCCGGAUUUAUUGGGCGUAAAGCGAGCGCAGGUGGUUUAUUAAGUCUGGUGUAAAAGGCAGUGGCUCAACCAUUGUAUGCAUUGGAAACUGGUAGACUUGAGUGGGCGAGAAGUAUGCGGAAUGCGUGGUGUAGCGGUGAAAUGCAUAGAUAUCACGCAGAACUCCGAUUGCGAAGGCAGCAUACCGGCGCCCUACUGACGCUGAGGCACGAAAGCGUGGGUAUCGAACAGG
This 252-nucleotide ribosomal RNA is filed under the name uncultured bacterium. RNAcentral describes it as "partial 16S ribosomal RNA". It matches the Rfam family "Bacterial small subunit ribosomal RNA", at positions 524 to 776 of the family's 1533-position model. The record is from RNAcentral.